RNAcentral lists this ribosomal RNA (460 nucleotides) under uncultured bacterium. RNAcentral's name for it is "partial 16S ribosomal RNA". It matches the Rfam family "Bacterial small subunit ribosomal RNA", at positions 338 to 795 of the family's 1533-position model. The record is from RNAcentral.
CCUACGGGAGGCAGCAGUGAGGAAUAUUGGUCAAUGGGCUUACGCCUGAACCAGCCAAGUCGCGUGAGGGAAGACUGCCCUAUGGGUUGUAAACCUCUUUUGUCAGGGAGCAACGCCGGCUACGUGUAGCCGGACUGAGAGUACCUGAAGAAAAAGCAUCGGCUAACUCCGUGCCAGCAGCCGCGGUAAUACGGAGGAUGCGAGCGUUAUCCGGAUUUAUUGGGUUAAAAGGGUGCGUAGGCGGAAUGCCAAGUCAGCGGUAAAAUCGCGGGGCUCAACCUCGCUCCGCCGUUGAAACUGGCGUUCUGGAGUGGGUGAGAAGUAUGCGGAAUGCGUGGUGUAGCGGUGAAAUGCAUAGAUAUCACGCAGAACUCCGAUUGCGAAGGCAGCAUACCGGCGCUCAACUGACGCUCAUGCACGAAAGUGUGGGUAUCGAACAGGAUUAGAUACCCUGGUAGUC